CGGGACGGGUGAGUAAUGUCUGGGAAACUGCCUGAUGAGGGGGAUAACUACUGGAAACGGUAGCUAAUACCGCAUAACGUCGCAAGACCAAAGAGGGGGACCUUAGGGCCUCUUGCCAUCGGAUGUGCCCAGAUGGGAUUAGCUAGUAGAUGGGGUAACGGCUCACCUAGGCGACGAUCCCUAGCUGGUCUGAGAGGAUGACCAGCCACACUGGAACUGAGACACGGUCCAG
Molecule: ribosomal RNA, 232 nt
Filed under: uncultured bacterium
Lineage: Bacteria
Description: partial 16S ribosomal RNA
Rfam family: Bacterial small subunit ribosomal RNA
Source: RNAcentral